CUGAAACUCCAGGUGCGUACCGAGGUGCAGGUUACCUCGUUAAACUGACUUGCAAACUCAUAGUUGCCAACGAAGACAACUACGCUCUAGCCGCCUAAUCGCGGCUGAACCUCGACCGGCCCGUGCUGGUGCGAACGGCUCGAGGGUAGCGCUCACCAGCUAGCGGAAUGCACGGGUCCUGGGUGGAUCCCGCGAAUCGUCACAGGGCUGGUCGCCGGCUUUCCCUGCCCGUCGGGUAGCCGGAGACGAGAACAAUAGACUGGGCUACGUACGUAGGUCUUGGAACGUAGGGCUUCUGGACGGGGGUUCGAUUCCCCCCGGCUCCACCA
Molecule: transfer-messenger RNA, 329 nt
Filed under: Gammaproteobacteria bacterium
Lineage: Bacteria; Pseudomonadati; Pseudomonadota; Gammaproteobacteria
Description: partial transfer-messenger RNA
Rfam family: transfer-messenger RNA
About the family: Bacterial tmRNA, also known as 10Sa RNA or SsrA, is named for its dual tRNA and mRNA-like properties. Its role is to liberate the mRNA from a stalled ribosome.
Source: RNAcentral